This is a non-coding RNA of Coturnix japonica (Japanese quail), 3616 nucleotides long. Lineage: Eukaryota; Metazoa; Chordata; Aves; Galliformes; Phasianidae. The record is from RefSeq and is a predicted model, not a curated record.
UGUUCUGUGGGGAGAACUUUGCCCCGUCUCGCAGAAUGGGGCCGGGCGCUCCUCGGGCUCCUCCCGAGCCCCAGCGGCGCCGGGUGCCGGGACGGCGCGCUUCGCUCCCUGGCGGCUGCAGCUAUUUUUAGCACUAGCCACCGAACCGUGGUGCUAUUUUUAGCUGUCGGCGGUUCCCACCUAGCAGAAGAGGAAGACAUGGAAGCAUCUCAGAACGAAAUUGAGCACAGCGCUGGGGAUGCUGCUCUGACACACGGUGUUACUCUUCGUGCUGUUCUGAUUGGGUUGCUUCGAGUUAGACAAAGUCUCUCCUUGCCAGUAGUAAGGUUGUAGCUUCGAAACAAGCCGAAUGUUAAAUUACAGAUGCUGCAGGAUUCAGAAGAACAGACACGUGAUUCCAUGUUCUUUGGUCACCUCUUACUUGUUAUCAUGUCUCUGUGGAAUGGGAGACGUCUGACAGAAAACAGGUUUAGGCAUGUUCCAAAAAAAUCUGUAGUUUUGAAAAGAUAGAUUCUGUGAUGGUGUAUUGAGUAAAUCCCUCUUAGUUUGUGGAUUAUUGGUCUGACAGGCAGGAACUUCCUGAGAUUCAUUCUGCUUUAUCACGUCAGGCCAGCUGCUGUGCACGUGUUCCAGAUCUGUGCACUCAAAAAGAAUUUGUGCACUGAAAGAAUAUGGGAGUAUGUGAGGGGAGCUGUGUUGUUAAUGAAAGCAGGAUUUCACUCUGUGACAACUGAGAUGCUGGUUUUACUUGUCUGUUCUCAUGACCGGCUGCCUGAUUAUUUGGUAGCCCGUUUAAAAUUCAUCUGGGGGGAACUUCUUGAUCCCUGGCUUUGCUACAAGCUGUACAGUGAAGCUGGCAUACAACUUUCUAAGGCUCAGCCAGGUCAUUCAAGUAGAUUGCACACUUUUCUUUCAUUCAGCUGAAAUACAGGAGCACCAAAGAUGAUUCCAACCCCCCUACCCCACCCCCGUGGUUGCCAUUGAUCUAAAUUCCAAAAGCUGUAUCUUGCUUUCAUUGACAGAAACUGCUCUCACUAAAGCUGGUAGGGCUACACCGUGUGAUACUUAACAUGAGAUGAGAAUCAGACUCCAGCAGGUCAAGUCACCAUUUGACUACCUUUGUUUCUUGAGAUUUUCUGAUGAAUGGAGGAAGGGUAGAGUUACCCACAUCACUGGGGGUUAUUCCAGGGGGAAAAAAUAAGGGUAAUAUUCUCCUCCCCCUUAAUAAGUAUGAACUUCUCCACUUCAAUGGGGAGUUUAUAACAGAUGCUUCUGGUAACAAGUCUGAAAUAAAUGUGGUGCCUGUUCUCUGGAAACAUAACUGAAUCAUGGGGUUUUCUGUCUGUGCGUAUUUACUACUGUAGUUUCUGUGUAAUCCCUCUUGAAUCUUGACACAAUCACUUAUUCAUUCUUACUGCAUCUCUCAUUCUUGCCUUUUCUGUCACAGUGGCUGUUAUGAACUGCAACAAACUUGCAACAGUUUUCUCCUACAGCUAGGAAAAGAGCGUUCUUCUGAAUACAAAUUACUUUAGGCUGGAAUAUGAACCAGAUGCUGUUCUACACUCUGAAGUAAACAACUGUUGAAAACAAGUAGAUGCUUAGUAUAUGAUGGGAAAUGUACACUCUGUUUUAGGGGGAAAAAACAGUAAAAGUAACUUUGAAGUACCUGAUCAGGUAGGUUACAAGUCCUUUUCCUCAAGAGAAAGAUUCUUAUUACGUGGAUAAAAAGAAACUUUACAAAGACAAUGCUAAGCCUCAAAAAUAUCUGCAAACUGUCUAAUCUGACAAAAACCUGUACCUGGGUCUAAUUUCAUUUAUGUGAAUGCUGCUGCUAAUCUAGGCAUUGAAUUCAUAAGUGUUGAUUCAGGUGGAUAAAUCUACGAGUAAGCAUAACGCUUUAGAAAACUCUGAACCCUGUGAGUAGGAAGAAGUGUUCUAAUUUUGAUAACAGUAAUUCAGGUUAUUCAAGAAGAGAUUACAUUGAAAAAGUAUAAUCUAAUUUACACAUAUAAUUUGCAAGUUAAUUAAUUGUAAAGAUGGGUACAGUUUUUUUUACAGAGCUAUAACAAUAAAGGAAUUGUUGACUUUACAAACUUUACAACAUCCUGUGUUAAUAAGUCUUGCUGGCACAUUUAUUGAGGAUAAAGGACUCAGGAUGAAAAUUCCACUGGAGAAAGGUCAGGGAGGAACAGAAGAUCCCUCCUGAAGAAAAUAUCUUAUUGAAGACACUCUUCUUUUUAUUUAUUUUUUAUUUUUUUAUUUUUUGCAAGAAAGGACUAACAGAAAUAAGGAUUAUUUAAUACUUUAUCAAAAAGGUGGAUUUGGGGGAUUCAUCUUUGCAUCUCUAUUAUAAAAAUAUAUAUAUAUUUGGAAGAUUUCUGCAAAUUGAACCUGUGGAUGUAUGUUUUUAAAAAAUGCACUGGGAAAUAGUAGACUAGAAAAAACCACCUCAACAAGUGGUAUAACCUUCUUGACAGUCAGAAGGUUAGUAAAAGACACUGAUCAAAGCAGUGGAGUCAGUAUCUCAAAGAAGUUUGUUUCAGCAAGUGAGGAGUUUCUGAGACUACAGACUCCUUCAUAGUCACAAGCAUGGCUUCAGUAGAUGCUCUUCUAGACAAAGAAGCUGAUGAUACAACUGGUGAUCCUUGGACUUAUUUUUGUGUCCUGAGAGAAAAUGGGUAGCCUGACAAGUAUUUGACUCAAGAGAUAACUUACAGAAGAUCAAGUUGUAGCACAAAUUCAGGGUUCUGAUGAAAACUGAGAUGCUGAUGGCAUUAUUUCAGACAUGAAUAACUUCAGGUAUUAAAAAUGGUAAGCCGACUGGGAGGGGAGAAAAUGUCUAGAGGAGAAGCCAAACCCUGGCAAUUGUUGAAGUUUAAAUAAAGCUGUUCCUCAGAGUGGUUUUGAUGAAUAAUUUAUUGAAUCAAGGGUUUUCUGGAAAACUGCUUAAAUGGCACCAUCCUGCCAGUGACCAAAGAUACAGAUGAGUAUUUCAAAUAAUUAAUAUUCCAUGCUUACUAAUACAUCUGUCAAAGCCGGACAUGGUAGUGCUUCUUCUGGUUUGCUGCUGCCAGCGCAUACUUCCAUACAAUACUGUUUUCUGGCCAUUUUUAGUUGUUUUGGAAGGGGUUCCCCUUCUUCUUCUUUAAGAUGGUUUAACAUCUUUAAUCUCUUCAUUAGCCAUUUUGUAUCUGCUUCCUUUUUAAUUUCUUUUUCAAUUAGUUGCUUUCCUUUCCUGUUAGUGUUAUUUCAAGUGUUUCUAGCCAAAGCCAUAAGCAGCAAGUCUGGUUUGUUGACAGUAGUGCUACUGAUGAUGUGCUUUUAAUGCUAAUAGGACAAUAUCCAACCUUUUUGUAUAAUAAGGUUGGUAGGAUGAUAACAAUUGCUGUAUUAGUGUUACAGACUCAUUCUGCAACCUGAGUAAAAUCUUGGCACCCUUGCUGUUUAUAGUUUUUCUUCUCAUAACAGUGAGCUGCCUCAAAUUCCACAUUAACUUUGUUUUCCUGAGUAAUGAUCCCCGAAUUCUGUUUCAGCAAGAUGAGUGUUACCAAGAGUUCUUCAGGAUAACAGAACACAGCCUUAAUGUUAUUUAAUUAAAAAAAAAAAAAAAAAAAAA